This 235-nucleotide long non-coding RNA is filed under the name Manihot esculenta (cassava). RNAcentral's name for it is "long non-coding RNA (MESC_LNC005463)". Lineage: Eukaryota; Viridiplantae; Streptophyta; Magnoliopsida; Malpighiales; Euphorbiaceae. The record is from RNAcentral.
GAUACCUUCAUCUCUCUCAGACCAAAUCCCUAAUCUCCAUCCUUCGUGUCUUCAUCUUUCUUCAGGUCCCGUAGCCACAGCCACCCACCCCAGUCGCCAGUCCCACAGCCAUCCACCGGCCACCCACCCUGCCACCCACUCGCCAAAGCCAGUCUCUUCUCUCCAUCCGUUGCCGCUUCAGUCCCGCAGCUAUGGCCACCCACCCACCCAAUCGCCAGUCCCACAGCCACCCACC